This 325-nucleotide ribosomal RNA is filed under the name Escherichia coli. RNAcentral describes it as "partial 23S ribosomal RNA". It matches the Rfam family "Bacterial large subunit ribosomal RNA", at positions 523 to 851 of the family's 2925-position model. The record is from RNAcentral. Lineage: Bacteria; Pseudomonadati; Pseudomonadota; Gammaproteobacteria; Enterobacterales; Enterobacteriaceae.
ACCCCGGAAGGGGAGUGAAAUAGAACCUGAAACCGUGUGCUUACAAGUAGUCAGAGCCCGUUAAUGGGUGAUGGCGUGCCUUUUGUAGAAUGAACCGGCGAGUUACGAUUUGAUGCAAGGUUAAGCAGUAAAUGUGGAGCCGUAGCGAAAGCGAGUCUGAAUAGGGCGUUUAGUAUUUGGUCGUAGACCCGAAACCAGGUGAUCUACCCUUGGUCAGGUUGAAGUUCAGGUAACACUGAAUGGAGGACCGAACCGACUUACGUUGAAAAGUGAGCGGAUGAACUGAGGGUAGCGGAGAAAUUCCAAUCGAACCUGGAGAUAGCUG